GAUGAACGCUGGCGGCGUGCUUAACACAUGCAAGUCGAGCGGAAUAAUUUAAAAGCUUGCUUUUAAAUUAUUUAGCGGCGGACGGGUGAGUAACGUGUGGGUAACCUGCCUCAUACAGAGGGAUAAUCAUGUGAAAACGUGACUAAUACCUCAUGUCAUUUUUGGAAGGCAUCUUCCGAAAAGAAAAGGAGCAAUCCGGUAUGAGAUGGACCCGCAUCUGAUUAGCUAGUUGGUGAGAUAAUAGCCCACCAAGGCAACGAUCAGUAGCCGACCUGAGAGGGUGAUCGGCCACAUUGGGACUGAGACACGGCCCAAACUCCUACGGGAGGCAGCAGUGGGGAAUAUUGCACAAUGGGGGAAACCCUGAUGCAGCAACGCCGCGUGAAGGAAGACGGUUUUCGGAUUGUAAACUUCUAUCAAUAGGGACGAAAAAAAUGACGGUACCUAAAUAAGAAGCCCCGGCUAACUACGUG
Molecule: ribosomal RNA, 473 nt
Filed under: uncultured organism
Description: bacterial SSU rRNA
Rfam family: Bacterial small subunit ribosomal RNA
Source: RNAcentral